GACGGAGGUGGCAAGCGUUAUUCGGAAUUAUUGGGCGUAAAGGGCGCGUAGGCGGCUAGAUGUGUCAAAGGUGAAAUCCCUCGGCUCAACUGAGGAACUGCCUUUGAAACUGUCUGGCUUGAGGCCGGGAGAGGGUAGCGGAAUUCCCAGUGUAGCGGUGAAAUGCGUAGAUAUUGGGAGGAACACCAGUGGCGAAGGCGGCUACCUGGACCGGUUCUGACGCUGAGGCGCGAAAGCGUGGGGAGCAAACAGG
This 253-nucleotide ribosomal RNA is filed under the name uncultured bacterium. Its description in RNAcentral is "partial 16S ribosomal RNA". It matches the Rfam family "Bacterial small subunit ribosomal RNA", at positions 524 to 776 of the family's 1533-position model. The record is from RNAcentral.